UACGAAGGGGGCUAGCGUUGCUCGGAAUCACUGGGCGUAAAGGGCGCGUAGGCGGCCGAUCAAGUCGGGGGUGAAAGCCUGUGGCUCAACCACAGAAUUGCCUUCGAUACUGUUUGGCUUGAGACCGGAAGAGGUUAGUGGAACUGCGAGUGUAGAGGUGAAAUUCGUAGAUAUUCGCAAGAACACCAGUGGCGAAGGCGGCUGACUGGUCCGGUUCUGACGCUGAGGCGCGAAAGCGUGGGGAGCAAACAGG
RNAcentral lists this ribosomal RNA (253 nucleotides) under uncultured bacterium. Its description in RNAcentral is "partial 16S ribosomal RNA". It matches the Rfam family "Bacterial small subunit ribosomal RNA", at positions 524 to 776 of the family's 1533-position model. The record is from RNAcentral.